Molecule: non-coding RNA, 72 nt
Organism: Ornithorhynchus anatinus (platypus)
Lineage: Eukaryota; Metazoa; Chordata; Mammalia; Monotremata; Ornithorhynchidae
Source: Rfam
AGCAGAGUGGCUCAGUGGAAAGAGCAUGGGCUUAAGAGUCAGCGUUUGUGGGUUCUAAUCCCGGCUCUGCCA